GCUCCAUUCACGCGAUUUCCCAUUCGCGUAAAGCAAGUCCAGGUGGAACAGAAACUCGCGCAAAUCGAGGGACGGCGCCGUUAAUGUGAAAAGCGACGUUUACAUUUCCGGUCAGAAGCGCGGAAGCUGUAAUUCCGUGCCUGGAGAUAAAUAAAACAAUCAAUCCACCGAGACAAAGAACCGACGAAAAUUCUUGCAAUGCAAUCCAGGUAAAUAAUUAUUCAAAACUCGUAGUAUAAUUAGAAAUUAGAAAUUAAGUUAAAUUCAUUCA
Megalopta genalis is the source of this 271-nucleotide non-coding RNA. NCBI's taxonomy places the organism in Eukaryota, Metazoa, Arthropoda, Insecta, Hymenoptera, Halictidae. The record is from RefSeq and is a predicted model, not a curated record.